UCAUGGCAGUGGAAAGACUGCUGAGGAUCAUCAAAGAUAAGGGUGAGGGGGCCAUCACAGUCAUCUGCACAGAUGUAAAGUUUCCACUGUUUAAUCCAGCUGAACUUGAAUUCCUCACUGAAUAUGCUGCUGCUAUGAGCCCAGUCGCCAAGGAAACCAACAUCUCGCAAGCAGAAGCAAAUGCCCAGAAUUCCAACAAUCAACCUACUGAGCAUCAAGCUUGACCGAGCCUCCAGGCCUCUGGUGGAUGCUUUACUGGAAUGGAUUACAUCAAGCAGCACAUGGAUGGAUCCUCCCUGCAGCCAGCUGAUGCUAGGUCCAGUUCAUCUGAUGAAGAUGACUUCUUUCUCAUCCCGCAGCCAUCUCAAGCACAAGACAGCUCCAAACAACCGGACGGAUACUUGGCCUGUUCAGCAGAUCACACGGACUUGUUGAAAUCCUUCAAAACUGUGUGCAAGCUGUCUGUGAAGCUGAACACACCUUUACCUGCCUCUGCAGCCUGUAAAAUGCUAUUUAACAUUGCAUGACUAGUCUUCAGCCCAAGAAGAGCAAGACUGAAUUCUCGCAAUUUUGAAAACCAACUUCUGUUGAAGAUGAACAGGAAAUUUUUCAGUUUCAAGUACUGACUGGGUUUUACUGUAGGGAAGGAUAUGAGGAAGGACGGAGAGAGGGACAGAUGAAAGAAGGAAUGGGAGGGAAGGAAAAACAGGAUUUUGUUCUUUAAAUUCUUUACGAUGUAAAGACAUGUUUUCUGAAUGGACAUUUGAUUUGUGUUGACAUGUUAGAGCAAAUGAUCAGUCUCGCAGUUAUGCAAGCAUCCACAUGGUGCAGAUUCAGCAGCCAAAGAUAUUCAAUUAUAAUCACUGUGUUUGCUUUCCAUUUAAACAGAGAAUUUUGGAACACAACUGUUUACAAGUCAUUUAAAUUGUAAUUGUGACCAACAUCUUUACAUGGACAGUUUUGCCUGGAGUCCCCCCACAUUCAAAUUAAACAGUUCAUUUUUUUCAAAUUUGAAAUGGCUUUAUUUAUUUAUUUAUU
Long non-coding RNA from Ictalurus furcatus (blue catfish), 1038 nucleotides. RefSeq lists it as uncharacterized. The transcript has 3 exons. The record is from RefSeq and is a predicted model, not a curated record. NCBI's taxonomy places the organism in Eukaryota, Metazoa, Chordata, Actinopteri, Siluriformes, Ictaluridae.